Molecule: ribosomal RNA, 253 nt
Filed under: uncultured bacterium
Lineage: Bacteria
Description: partial 16S ribosomal RNA
Rfam family: Bacterial small subunit ribosomal RNA
Source: RNAcentral
UACGUAGGGGGCAAGCGUUGUCCGGAUUCACUGGGCGUAAAGCGCGUGUAGGCGGCGCGUCAAGUCGGGUGUGAAAGCCCGGGGCUCAACCCCGGGAUGCCGCUCGAAACUGGCGCGCUUGAGGACGGAAGAGGGGAGUGGAAUUCCUGGUGUAGCGGUGAAAUGCGUAGAUAUCGGGAGGAACACCAGUGGCGAAGGCGGCUUCCUGGCCUGUUCUUGACGCUGAGGCGCGAAAGCUAGGGGAGCAAACGGG